Molecule: transfer RNA, 72 nt
Filed under: Felis catus (domestic cat)
Lineage: Eukaryota; Metazoa; Chordata; Mammalia; Carnivora; Felidae
Also listed under: 2 other names
Rfam family: tRNA
About the family: Transfer RNA (tRNA) molecules are approximately 80 nucleotides in length.
Source: Rfam by way of RNAcentral
GCCUGGCUGGCUCAGUUGGUGGAGCAUGGGACUCUUGAUCUCGGGUCAUGAGUUCAAGUCCCACAUUGGGCA